Papaver somniferum (opium poppy) is the source of this 2137-nucleotide long non-coding RNA. RefSeq lists it as uncharacterized. NCBI's taxonomy places the organism in Eukaryota, Viridiplantae, Streptophyta, Magnoliopsida, Ranunculales, Papaveraceae. The transcript has 8 exons. The record is from RefSeq and is a predicted model, not a curated record.
GAUUGAACCACAUCAACUCUAGUUUGAUCUGCAGUUGCAAGCAUCGAUCUGAGAUGUUAGGUCAUUUGUUAGAUUUGGAAGCAUCGAUAUGAUAAUCAGGCAAUAAGAUUGCAGUUCCAGAAUAUCAUCAUCAAUGUCAUCAAUGUCUACUUUUAUAGCACGAAGCAGGCGACAUAGGCAAUGAUAUGAGAAUGAUUUUCGCUUUGUAGCUGGGUAAAUUAUCAAGUCCUUUUCCGUUUCUAACUUUUCUCUUUCACUUUGACUUGUUUCAUCAUUUAUCUGGCAAUAUCGACUCAUUUUUUGCGCGUAAUUAGGAUUCUUCACUUGUUUGUACUAAUUAGUUGCAAUAAACAACAAGGGGUAGGACAAAAAGAGGAAAAUACUUCCUUCUUUUUAAAAAAAUGUUGUUGACUUUCAUCUGAAUCGUUUUUUUUAGAAUUAUCUAUGUUAUAUCGACAUACAAGAAUAUUUUGAUGAUGAUGUAUUCUUGUCUAAUUUCCUACCUAGCCAUCUUGUGUUAAUUACAGCUAUGUCUGUAGUUAUUACUGCAUCUAUGGGGAAUCCUUGCUGAUUCUCUUAUCAUAAAACACGAAGAGGUGUAUUCUAUACGGAAUCAAGAAAGAUGGUGAGGGUGACGCGGUUGAUUGCGAGAGUAGGUUGGAACUUCUUAUGGUGUCAUCUCCUGAUCAAGAAGACAUUGUUUUCCCAAAGGGUGGAUGGGAGGAUGAUGAGACUAUAGCCGAAGCCGCAUGUCGUGAAGCCUUGGAGAAAUUAUGACUAAAGAAGACGUACUGAUUUGGGGAAAUUCAUUACUUUUCUUAGGCUUGAUUAUGGACGACCUGUUUUGUUCAGACUCUCCCAUAGUUACUAUAGUAAAGAUAUAAAUCAAUUAUGAGAAGUGACUUAUGUUCAUUUUGCCCAAUCACCAACUUAAAGCUCUAUUUUUCGUGUACAAUUUAUCAAAGAUUAUUUCUUCUAGAUUAUGUCUUCUCACUCUUGAUGUUUUUUUUACUCUUCUGCACAGGAAAGUCCCUUGGGAAUGUGGGAAUUCAGAAGUAACAGCAGACAGAAUAGCUGCAGUAUGGAAGGAUUUUGCAGGGGUUACAUGUUUGCAUUAGAAGUGACUUAAGAACUUGAUACCUGGCCAGAGGAGGAUAAGCAUGGCAGACUUAAGAACUUGAUACCUGGCCAGAGGAGAUAAGCAUGGCAGAAGAUGGGUAAGUCUGCCAAUGCUUGAAUUUUUAUUGGUAUUGAGUUACUAAUGUUGAUGUCGUUGAACUUAUCAACAUUAGUAAAUUCCUCCUGGUUGUGGUAAAACUAUAAUUUCCAAGGCUAUAACAAAUGAGGUUGGGGAAAAUUUCACACAAUAAGUUCCUCAGAAUUGAAACUUGUUAGCAGCUUGUCUGCUUAAGAUUACAAAUUAACUAUGAUCACCAACUAGGGCCCUGAACUUCUGAACAAUUUUGUCUAUCCGGGUUAACAAUGGAGCACUUCAGCAUGUGCAUGACCUUUACCUGGAGUUAGGGAAGAAAUAUAGGCAAAACUAUUACCAUAUGGCUAUUCAAUAAAUAAACCAAUCUCUUAUACAUGUAUGCUCUCUGUAAAUAUGAUUCUCAUUCGUGGGUUUUACUGUGUGCUGUAAAAUAGGGACCAUACAUAUGCGCUGCAAAGUUUGUAAGUCAGUGGACCUGUUUUAAGAAGCCUAAACGUCAAGCUCUUAAGGUUUUAAAAUAGUUCCGCGCAGAAGAAAUAGGCUUAAGGUGAGAGAUGGAUGCAAGUUGAUGAGGAGGUUCAGCUAGGGAAUGAUGGAUAUGUUGGUUCGCUUCAACCUGCAGUUGUUUAUCUUAUACAUUUCAAUCUAUUUCAGAAAUAUUUCCAGUUGUCAUUCAUUACUCUGACAUGGGUUCUUCAUCAUCUUGGUCGCAUUUACGAGAAGAGAAUUGGGCGCCAUCGUGUGAUCAUCCUCUCAAAGCCACAAUUAUUUGCAGCAUUCUGAUUUCUCACUGUAAGAACUUGUAACAUUCCAUUUCUGUAUGAAACCCAUAGAAGCUAAUACAAACAUAAUUGCACCAAGUACAAUGUAACAAACAGUACUGAAAUUAUGGCUUUAUUCUAACUCUUGAUUCCUUCAGUUUUA